Long non-coding RNA from Chelonia mydas (Green sea turtle), 1682 nucleotides. RefSeq lists it as uncharacterized. The transcript is spliced from 2 exons. The record is from RefSeq and is a predicted model, not a curated record. Lineage: Eukaryota; Metazoa; Chordata; Testudines; Cheloniidae.
GAGCCAAACUGAAGAGAUAAUUGGUUAAGGACUGGAUGAUUAACUAAUUAACAAGGUGAUUCAUUGCUUCAGCUGAGGAUAAGACAGACAGGCUGAAGGAGGGGAAGGACAGAAGGAAAGGCCAGAGAAGCCCAGAACCUCAGGGAAGAUACCUUUCCUACUGUGCCUAGGGAGAAGGGAACACGUCACUGGACUAGACUACAAGGCUCUCCUCCCCAAUCUCCACCACUGCUGUGUGCUUACGUCGUUAAUGGAAGGGGAAGCACAGCCAUCUCUAUGAGGAACUUAUUUCUCCUGGAGCUCCACCUCCUCCUAUCUCCUCGCUAGCUGAAGAAAGGAGGACUCACGAUGCAAAAGAAUCUGAAGAGGGAGCUAGUGCUGGCACCUGGCUGUGCUGGUGCUGCCAGCCUUUCUUACCUGUGGAUGGAGGAGCAAGAGUUCUUGCUUAAUGGAAAAAGAAGAGGUGUCCCAGCUGGGAGUCUCCUAGCCACCUUUUCAUCCCCCACUUCUGCUGCCUCCCCACCCCUGCCAAUGGGAGAGGGGACAGAAACCUCCCACCCAUCCCUGCCCCUCCAAACCAAAUGAUACAUGCAUUUUGCAUAAAAUCUCUCUUUUGAAAUGUCUUUACAUCUUCUUGAGUGCAGGAAAUUGUUUGGGGCACUUCAGAAAUUUCCACAGAAGUUCAUGGAUCCACAGAAGAUGCCCCUUUGUGUGUAUUUUCACAUCGGUUCAAGUUCUCCGUUCUGGGAGAAAAGGAGGUGGGAAGGGCCAGGGCUGAGCUACUGUGUGCACACAAUUGUUUUCCUACUUAUAGGCACUUUUAUGGCUAUGACCUCACUUCUGGUGCAUUGCUUCUCAUCCCUCAUUCUCUUCCACAUGCUGUGCCCCGUCCCCACAAGAUGAUGUAAUGCUGCAUUAGCACAUGUCAAAACCUAUGACAACAGCCAACAAAGUUGGUAACCUGUCCUGAGCUACUUCAGUCCCUGGCUGCCUACAAGAAAUUAGCCAGCUAAUAAUGACUGAUUGUCAGAGGCAAAACAAAAACAACCCCUGGCUGCCCUCCUCUCCCAGUGUUAUUCAGUGAUUCAGUACCAUCCCGUUGCGCAUGUUCUUAGCAAAUGUAGCCACAUAAGUUUGUUCCUGUUAAAUCUGUCCUCCUUUCUCCUCCUUUGGCUCACUCGUUUAAUUUUAUCUUCAAUUAGAUAAUGAGAUCUUUGGGGUGGGAGUCGUAUUUUACUUUGUAUUUGUACAACACUUAACGCAAUGGGGCCUCGAUCCCAGUAUAGGGCUGUUGGGAAAUGUCACAAUUCUAAAUAGUAGUCAUUAAUAAUAAUUCAGUGGCCAUUAAUAUCCCAAAUCAUUGCUUAAACUAAAAGGGUGGGGCAUGGCUUUUGGCCCAAACUGUGGGCUGUUGCAGAAUGAUUCAUUACUUUAUUUUGGCAAAUGUAUUUUCAUCUGUUAACUGAACUCUGAUUUCGAGCACUCUGUGUGGUUCUCACGGCUGAGGGAAUUUCCUUCCCUUUAUCUGCUUGUUUUCUUCCAAUCUGGGUUAAAAUCAAUACACUUAAAUAAAACAAUUGGGCUGUGUGUACCUCCUGCUGUGUUGUGGCAGGAAUUGAAGAUGAGGGACCAAAGAUUAGUUAAGUCAUUUUCUUCUAAAGUAAAUUUACUGUUGACAACCA